GGCGAGCGGCGCGGCGAGCGGCAAGCGAGUGCGGCGAAGCACGCUCUGCGGAGUGUGUCGCGAGUAUUGGCGUGCGCUGACCAGGAUUUCACUGGCUGCCAACUGACAAUCGCUGUACUGCACGAGUCCUAAACUUAGCAACCGCGCCUACAAAGUAGACCGAAAUCGAUCCCUUUGGCGGUCUCCUUGCUGUGACAGCCUCUCCGCAAAACUGGCAGGUUCGCGAUUGACGACUUCAUUGGAAAUGUUUUUUUUUGCCAUCCUCUAAGGAAAUGUUACACGACUGACAGAAACAGAACAAAAGAAUUUUUUUAACAUGUAAUCAAAAAUUUGUUGCAAUAGUUUUUCGAUCAAAAAUGCCAUAAAUCCGGAUGUAAUGGUGCCGCCGUUCAAACCUUGGCUAUUACACGAAUAUGAAGAUUUCUACAGACGCUUUCUGGUGUCUGCUGAUAUUUUUCGUACAGAUCGCAACGCUCGCUGGUGCCUGUAAGAAGAAGGGUGCCAAAGGGCAGGGGAAAGUGCACUGGGAUUCGUGUAGAGGCACCUGCUGGACGCCGCGCGCGUUACGUCGUGGCAACGUGCCGCCGAUGGCGCCCCCGCCGAUCGGCAACUGAGUCUGACCACAGCGAAGACAAGGGGACUGUAGCACACCCGUGCCGACCGCCGCGCUGUCCUGGUGGGUGCAAACCUAAGUACUGGUAGGAGACGUACCUACCUUCUGGCACAGACGUGAUAUUGCUAAGGAGGCUUCGCCUAACACAGAGAUGGCAAG
Long non-coding RNA from Hyposmocoma kahamanoa, 772 nucleotides. RefSeq lists it as uncharacterized. NCBI's taxonomy places the organism in Eukaryota, Metazoa, Arthropoda, Insecta, Lepidoptera, Cosmopterigidae. The record is from RefSeq and is a predicted model, not a curated record. The transcript is spliced from 5 exons.